This 455-nucleotide long non-coding RNA is filed under the name Callithrix jacchus (white-tufted-ear marmoset). Its description in RNAcentral is "lncRNA (ENSCJAG00000073713.1)". Lineage: Eukaryota; Metazoa; Chordata; Mammalia; Primates; Cebidae. The record is from RNAcentral.
UACAACACUAGCAGGUUCUAAAGAUAUAUGCAUAUCUGCUCACCAGAUGGAAGGCAGGACUCUGUAACAGAUAGGAGACAAGUCUGGAUUAGAAUCCCAGCUCUGCUACCUGCUCUGUGUCCUUGGCUAAGACUCAGUUUUUCCCUCAAUUGUAUGCUUCUGCCAUGAUUGCUUCCUGGGACCUCCUCAGCCCUGUGGAACUGACCCAAUCCUGCACUGUGUGGGGUUAGGUGCAGCUGGACAAUGCGAAACUGGACAUAACCAAGGAGGUAAAAGAAUGCAGUUUCUCCUUCUCUUAAGAUCUCUGUGUCAGACUCCUCACCUAAGAAAAAUUUGAAUGAACAAUAUUUCAAAAGUUUGUGUAAAUGAUUGAGUAGACAAUAUGUGUGAUAAGUCAAGUUUAGAAAUUUACUGUAUACACCAAGGGUCCCCAAUGGGGAACCUGUUAGGAACUG